Melanotaenia boesemani (Boeseman's rainbowfish) is the source of this 1168-nucleotide long non-coding RNA. RefSeq lists it as uncharacterized. The transcript has 4 exons. NCBI's taxonomy places the organism in Eukaryota, Metazoa, Chordata, Actinopteri, Atheriniformes, Melanotaeniidae. The record is from RefSeq and is a predicted model, not a curated record.
GUCCUCUGUACUGUGGAAAUUUCAGUGUGAAAAUGCAACGAUGGACUGAAAACCUACCAAGGGUGGUCUCUAUUACCAGAUGUACUGGUACAGACAGUUGUCAGUUGUUGACAGUUGUUUUCUUCUUCUGUCUUGUUCUGUUUUCUUCUGUCAUUAGAUGUCAGCAUCAGACCUUUAUGUUAAGAGGAGGAUCCUCUAUGACACCACCUACCUAAGGAUUAAAUGUCUUCACCAAUGCUGUUUGAGGACUGACGCUCAGAAAGAAGCUGGAAAUAUGAAGUAUAGCUGCUGAUGCAUGAAGGGAAAUAUUAAACUUUAUCAGCCCAAACAAUCUGGCCUUGAAUUAUUUAAUGCAACCAAAGAUUUAAACAACAGAAAAUGAUCUUUUUUCUUUGCAUUGCUUUCACCAACAUUCUGGUUUCAGGUUCUUCUCUCAGUGACAAAGUCCAACAGAAACCAGCAGAAAUGUAUAAAACACUUGAAGGAAAAGCCAAGAUUAAUUGUUCCCAUAAUGUAGAUAACUACGACCAAAUUCUCUGGUACAAGCAAACAAAAACAGACCUACAGCUCCUUGGAUACUGUUAUGCAGGCUCUGGAAGCAUAGAGAAAGGGAUGGCAGCAUCAGACCUUUAUGUGAAGAGGAGGAUCCUCUAUGACACCACCCAUCUAAGGAUCACGUCUGUUCAUCAUUGCUGAUUGAGGACCGACUCAGAAAGAAGUUGGAAAUGAUUAAACUCCUUGUGCAAUAAGUGAAAAUAUUGAAUUAUUCUGAUUCUAUUCUAUCUUUUCUGAUUAUUUUUAAUACAUUAAAACUUUUAGAGAGCAGAAAAUGAUCAUCUUUUUUCUUUGCAUUGCUUUUAACAUCCUGAUGGUUUCAGGUGCUUCAUACAGUGACGAAAUCCAACAGGAACCAGCAGAAACGUACAAAACAGUUAAAGAAGAUGCCACAAUUACCUGCUCACAUCAUAUUGAUAGCUACAACCGAAUUUCCUGGUACAAGCAAACAAAUGGAGACCUGCAGCUCCUUGGAUACUUGUAUGCAGGCGGUGGAGUUUCAGAGAAAGGGGUAAAUGUGAAGAUCGAAGGAGCUGCAAAAAAAGGCGACACCUGCUCAUUAACGAUUGAAGGACUCAAUCUGAGCAGCAGUGCAGUUUACUUCUGUGCUGCU